GAUGAACGCUGGCGGCGUGCCUAAUACAUGCAAGUCGAGCGAACGGACGAGAAGCUUGCUUCUCUGAUGUUAGCGGCGGACGGGUGAGUAACACGUGGAUAACCUACCUAUAAGACUGGGAUAACUUCGGGAAACCGGAGCUAAUACCGGAUGAUCUUUUGAACCGCAUGGUUCAAAAGUGAAAGACGGUCUUGCUGUCACUUAUAGAUGGAUCCGCGCUGCAUUAGCUAGUUGGUAAGGUAACGGCUUACCAAGGCAACGAUGCAUAGCCGACCUGAGAGGGUGAUCGGCCACACUGGAACUGAGACACGGUCCAGACUCCUACGGGAGGCAGCAGUAGGGAAUCUUCCGCAAUGGGCGAAAGCCUGACGGAGCAACGCCGCGUGAGUGAUGAAGGUCUUCGGAUCGUAAAACUCUGUUAUUAGGGAAGAACAUAUGUGUAAGUAACUGUGCACAUCUUGACGGUACCUAAUCAGAAAGCCACGGCUAACUACGUG
RNAcentral lists this ribosomal RNA (497 nucleotides) under uncultured bacterium. RNAcentral describes it as "partial 16S ribosomal RNA". It matches the Rfam family "Bacterial small subunit ribosomal RNA", at positions 28 to 507 of the family's 1533-position model. The record is from RNAcentral.